GCAUCUGUACUUCAGUUGGUAGAAAACACUAGGUGAUAGUGAACGCAUAGGUUCGAGUCCUAUCGGAUGCA
RNAcentral lists this transfer RNA (71 nucleotides) under Bacillus wiedmannii. Its description in RNAcentral is "tRNA-His". It matches the Rfam family "tRNA". Rfam says of the family: Transfer RNA (tRNA) molecules are approximately 80 nucleotides in length. Lineage: Bacteria; Bacillati; Bacillota; Bacilli; Caryophanales; Bacillaceae. The record is from RNAcentral.